GACGAACGCUGGCGGCGUGCUUAACACAUGCAAGUCGAACGGAAAGGCCCUGCUUUUGUGGGGUGCUCGAGUGGCGAACGGGUGAGUAACACGUGAGUAACCUGCCCUUGACUUUGGGAUAACUUCAGGAAACUGGGGCUAAUACCGGAUAGGAGCUCCUGCUGCAUGGUGGGGGUUGGAAAGUUUCGGCGGUUGUGGAUGGACUCGCGGCUUAUCAGCUUGUUGGUGGGGUAGUGGCUUACCAAGGCUUUGACGGCUAGCCGACCUGAGAGGGUGAUAGGCCACACAGGCACUGGGACAGGGGCAAGAGGACUACGGGAGGGAGCAGGAGGGAAUAGGCGGGAAUGGGGGGAAGCCGGACGGAGCGACGGCGAGUGAGUGAUGAAGGUCUUGGGAGCGUAAAACUGUGUUAUGAGGGAGGAACAUAUGUGAAAGUACAUGUGCACAUCGUGACGGUACCUAAUAAGAAAGCCACCGCUACCUACGUC
Molecule: ribosomal RNA, 488 nt
Filed under: uncultured bacterium
Lineage: Bacteria
Description: partial 16S ribosomal RNA
Rfam family: Bacterial small subunit ribosomal RNA
Source: RNAcentral